Pantherophis guttatus is the source of this 1484-nucleotide long non-coding RNA. RefSeq lists it as uncharacterized. NCBI's taxonomy places the organism in Eukaryota, Metazoa, Chordata, Lepidosauria, Squamata, Colubridae. The record is from RefSeq and is a predicted model, not a curated record.
CUAAAGUUUUUUUUUUUUUUAAAAAACAAGGAACUUAAAACUAUAAAUGGCAGUCAGAAAAAUAUCCUUUUUUAUAAAAUAAUUCAUGUUAUGACACAUACAGUACUGGCAUCUCCCUGAAACAAAGUAUGUUUUGAAAUCACAAACGCUCAUAUAAAAACGUAAGAGAAAGCUACUUCAGACGUUUAACACUGAGCCCAACUACUACAGCCAUCCUCUCCACAGUAACCAAUCACCAGAGGCCUUGGCAAUAAGACAUCAGCACAACAGUAUUCUCUCUAGCAGCUGACCCUGAGAAAGAAGCAUCCUAGAGAAUUUUCCCCAGAUAUCAGUCAAGCUGAUUGGUCUGUAGUUUCCUGGAUCCACCUUUUUCCCCUUGUUGGAAGUUUGGAACAUCAGAUCUUUUCCAGACUCUGGCAGUUUCUCUAAGCUCCAGAAACUCAGCUUCUGUUCAGUGGUUCCAAGAUAACAUCUACAAGCUCCUUCUUAACCCUGGGAUGUAAACCAUCUGCUCCUGACCCAUCUAGAGUAAAUACGAAGAACAAGCUCAGCAGAGGACUCUGAUGCCGAGAAAGAUGGAGGGGGUGGAAAGGAGGAGGAAACACACAGCAAGGUAACUAAAAAAGGGUUGCUAACCUCAUCUACAAUAACAUGAGACACGUUAGAAAGAAGAAGAUCAUCUUGCAAUUUCCGAAGAAGAACUCCAGUCGUACAGUAAAGCAGUCUAGUAGCUUCUCCUGUUCGUGAUUCCAUACGGAUUUGAUAGCCACACAAGGAAUUCUUAGAGAAGAAAAUAAAAGGUUUGUCUAAAAUAAACUUAUUGUGAUUAGAACUUUCCAUUAUUAUUAGAAUAGGCUACUUUGCUCCUAUAUUAAUUCACAAACAUUUUUCCUGUUUGGAAAAAAGAUUGAUCCCAUAGCAGGUGCAAGUAGUUUUAUAGCAAUGCCCAAUUUUUAAUCCAUCCCAGCAGAAAGAGAUGCUAGUCUUUUCGAUUUGUGUUUUUUAAGGACAUGUAAUAGUUUCUAUACAAGAUCAACUCUUUGAUUUAAUAUUUAUUAAAAAUAUAGCAAAUAUUUCCAAGAGACUAAUAUGGAAAUAUGGAGCAUGCUUCCUCAAAAGAGGAAUUUCUCUUAUAAACUGACAGCAAAAAUUCAGUACAACCUUAAAGUGUAAACUCAGUCUGUUUCUGGAUGAGCUUCAAAUGCAACUCUAUUCUGUUCUUCAGUUUGCCAGAUAAUAAUGCCACUGUACCACAAAUAUUGGUGCAUAACUAAUUCUAUAAGGAAUUAAAAUUACUACUGAAUGGUAAUCUACCAUUUUUUCUUAUGAUCUCAAUAUUCUUAUGUGAAAUUCCUCUAAGCCAUAAAUGGAAAUUUAUUCCAUUAUAAACUGAUCUUUUAGGAGCUGUCCUAUUACAUUCUCUAAAAAGCAGUCAUCGGAACAUAACUGUAAGAACGUCUUACUCUUCCACCAGGUCCAUUUUC